This 497-nucleotide ribosomal RNA is filed under the name uncultured bacterium. Its description in RNAcentral is "partial 16S ribosomal RNA". It matches the Rfam family "Bacterial small subunit ribosomal RNA", at positions 28 to 507 of the family's 1533-position model. The record is from RNAcentral.
GAUGAACGCUGGCGGCGUGCCUAAUACAUGCAAGUCGAGCGAACGGACGAGAAGCUUGCUUUUCUGAUGUUAGCGGCGGACGGGUGAGUAACACGUGGAUAACCUACCUAUAAGACUGGGAUAACUUCGGGAAACCGGAGCUAAUACCGGAUAAUAUUUUGAACCGCAUGGUUCAAAAGUGAAAGACGGUCUUGCUGUCACUUAUAGAUGGAUCCGCGCUGCAUUAGCUAGUUGGUAAGGUAACGGCUUACCAAGGCAACGAUGCAUAGCCGACCUGAGAGGGUGAUCGGCCACACUGGAACUGAGACACGGUCCAGACUCCGACGGGAGGCAGCAGUAGGGAAUCUUCGGCAAUGGGCGAAAGCCUGACGGAGCAACGCCGCGUGAGUGAUGAAGGUCUUCGGAUCGUAAAACUCUGUUAUUAGGGAAGAACAUAUGUGUAAGUAACUGUGCACAUCUUGACGGUACCUAAUCAGAAAGCCACGGCUAACUACGUG